AUGGAGUCGGGUCACCUGGAAAAUCUUCUUUGUGACAAUGCUUGGGCUAUUGUACUGUAUAUCAACAAUUACGCUGUGCUCAUGGGUUACCUAUCCAUGGGCAUCAAGGGCUUGGGGUUGCUGAUGCUAACUUGGACCACUGUUGUUCUUCUUGGUGGAUUCGUGUCUAGUCUGCAUCCGAAUGACUUUUGGUGCUUGACAUUUGUGACGGUCAUACAGACAGCUGGGUUAGUACUUUUCCAACAUUUAACUCGUAUAUUUACUGCCUAUGUCUUUUUAUGUUCCUUCUUCCUUUGGCUUGAUUCAUAUUUUCUUGCUGCUCAUGUAUGUAGCUUCCUAGUAAAAUCAUCUUUGUAUGUUCCUUCUUCCUUUGGCUUAAAAAAAUAG
RNAcentral lists this ribosomal RNA (387 nucleotides) under Triticum aestivum (bread wheat). RNAcentral describes it as "partial small subunit ribosomal RNA". The record is from RNAcentral. Lineage: Eukaryota; Viridiplantae; Streptophyta; Magnoliopsida; Poales; Poaceae.